Molecule: microRNA, 24 nt
Filed under: Eptesicus fuscus (big brown bat)
Lineage: Eukaryota; Metazoa; Chordata; Mammalia; Chiroptera; Vespertilionidae
Description: efu-miR-9186i
Source: miRBase by way of RNAcentral
UGGUGGCAUCACUGGUACUGAUGU